UGGGGAAUAUUGGACAAUGGGCGAAAGCCUGAUCCAGCCAUGCCGCGUGUGUGAAGAAGGUCUUCGGAUUGUAAAGCACUUUAAGUUGGGAGGAAGGGCAGUUACCUAAUACGUAUCUGUUUUGACGUUACCGACAGAAUAAGCACCGGCUAACUCUGUGCCAGCAGCCGCGGUAAUACAGAGGGUGCAAGCGUUAAUCGGAAUUACUGGGCGUAAAGCGCGCGUAGGUGGUUUGUUAAGUUGGAUGUGAAAUCCCCGGGCUCAACCUGGGAACUGCAUUCAAAACUGACAAGCUAGAGUAUGGUAGAGGGUGGUGGAAUUUCCUGUGUAGCGGUGAAAUGCGUAGAUAUAGGAAGGAACACCAGUGGCGAAGGCGACCACCUGGACUGAUACUGACACUGAGGUGCGAAAGCGUGGGGAGCAAACAGGAUUAGAUACCCAAGUAGUCCCUGAGCGGGCUGGCAAGGCGCAU
RNAcentral lists this ribosomal RNA (472 nucleotides) under uncultured bacterium. RNAcentral's name for it is "bacterial SSU rRNA". It matches the Rfam family "Bacterial small subunit ribosomal RNA", at positions 355 to 825 of the family's 1533-position model. The record is from RNAcentral.